Molecule: transfer RNA, 90 nt
Filed under: Verrucomicrobiota bacterium
Lineage: Bacteria; Pseudomonadati; Verrucomicrobiota
Also listed under: 2 other names
Description: Verrucomicrobia bacterium (anaerobic digester metagenome) tRNA-Ser
Rfam family: tRNA
About the family: Transfer RNA (tRNA) molecules are approximately 80 nucleotides in length. Their secondary structure includes four short double-helical elements and three loops (D, anti-codon, and T loops).
Source: RNAcentral
GGAGGGGUGGCAGAGCGGUCGAAUGCGGCGGUCUUGAAAACCGUUGGGGCCUCAAAGCCCUCGGGGGUUCGAAUCCCUCCCCCUCCGCCA